UACGGGGGGAGCAAGCGUUGUUCGGAUUUACUGGGCGUAAAGAGCUCGUAGGCGGCUUGUCGCGUCGACCGUGAAAACUUGGGGCUCAACCCCAAGCCUGCGGUCGAUACGGGCAGGCUAGAGUUCGGUAGGGGAGACUGGAAUUCCUGGUGUAGCGGUGAAAUGCGCAGAUAUCAGGAGGAACACCGAUGGCGAAGGCAGCUCGCUGGGACGGUACUGACGCUGAGACGCGAAAGCGUGGGGAGCAAACAGG
Molecule: ribosomal RNA, 253 nt
Filed under: uncultured bacterium
Lineage: Bacteria
Description: partial 16S ribosomal RNA
Rfam family: Bacterial small subunit ribosomal RNA
Source: RNAcentral